RNAcentral lists this ribosomal RNA (521 nucleotides) under uncultured bacterium. Its description in RNAcentral is "bacterial SSU rRNA". It matches the Rfam family "Archaeal small subunit ribosomal RNA", at positions 345 to 866 of the family's 1478-position model. The record is from RNAcentral.
AACCUCCGCAAUGUGAGAAAUCGCGACGGGGGGAUCCCAAGUGCCAUUCUUAACGGGAUGGCUUUUCAUUAGUGUAAAGAGCUUUUGGAAUAAGGGCUGGGCAAGACCGGUGCCAGCCGCCGCGGUAACACCGGCAGCUCUAGUGGUAGCAGUUUUUAUUGGGCCUAAAGCGUCCGUAGCCGGUUUAAUAAGUCUCUGGUGAAAUCCUGUAGCUUAACUGUGGGAAUUGCUGGAGAUACUAUUAGACUUGAGAUCGGGAGAGGUUAGAGGUACUCCCAGGGUAGAGGUGAAAUUCUGUAAUCCUGGGAGACCGCCUGUUGCGAAGGCUUCUAACUGGAACGAUUCUGACGGUGAGGGACGAAAGUUAGGGGCGCGAACCGGAUUGGGAUACCCGGGUAGUCCUAACUGUAAACGAUGCGGACUUGGUGUUGGGGUGGCUUUGAGCUGCUCCAGUGCCGAAGGGAAGCUGUUAAGUCCGCCGCCUGGGAAGUACGGUCGCAAGACUGAAACUUAAAGGAAUU